GCCAGACUCCUACGGGAGGCAGCAGUGGGGAAUAUUGCACAAUGGGGGAAACCCUGAUGCAGCGACGCCGCGUGAGCGAAGAAGUAUUUCGGUAUGUAAAGCUCUAUCAGCAGGGAAGAAAAAAAUGACGGUACCUGAGUAAGAAGCACCGGCUAAAUACGUGCCAGCAGCCGCGGUAAUACGUAUGGUGCAAGCGUUAUCCGGAUUUACUGGGUGUAAAGGGAGCGUAGGCGGCGCGUUAAGUCUGAUGUGAAAACCCGAGGCUCAACCACGGGAGUGCAUUGGAAACUGGCGGGCUGGAGUGCCGGAGAGGUAAGCGGAAUUCCUAGUGUAGCGGUGAAAUGCGUAGAUAUUAGGAGGAACACCAGUGGCGAAGGCGUCUUACUGGAUCGAAACUGACGUUGAGGCUCGAAAGCGUGGGGAGCAAACAGGAUUAGAUACCCUUGUA
RNAcentral lists this ribosomal RNA (448 nucleotides) under uncultured bacterium. Its description in RNAcentral is "partial 16S ribosomal RNA". It matches the Rfam family "Bacterial small subunit ribosomal RNA", at positions 330 to 792 of the family's 1533-position model. The record is from RNAcentral.